GAGUGUUGGGUUAAGUCCCCGUAACGAGCGCAACCCUUGUCCUUAGUUACCAGCACGUUAUGGUGGGCACUCUAAGGAGACUGCCGGUGACAAACCGGAGGAAGGUGGGGAUGACGUCAAGUCAUCAUGGCCCUUACGGCCUGGGCUACACACGUGCUACAAUGGUCGGUACAAAAGGGUUGCCAAGCCGCGAGGUGGAGCUAAUCCCAUAAAAACCGAAUCGUAGUCCGGAUCGCAGUCUGCAACUCGACUGCGUGAAGUCGGAAUCGCUAGUAAUCGUGAAUCAGAAUGUCACGGUGAAUACGUUCCCGGGCCUU
Molecule: ribosomal RNA, 317 nt
Filed under: uncultured Pseudomonas sp.
Lineage: Bacteria; Pseudomonadati; Pseudomonadota; Gammaproteobacteria; Pseudomonadales; Pseudomonadaceae
Description: bacterial SSU rRNA
Rfam family: Bacterial small subunit ribosomal RNA
Source: RNAcentral